GGGUCGUUAGCUCAAUUGGUAGAGCAGCUGCCUCUUAAGCAGCGGGUUCGGGGUUCAAGCCCCCGGCGACCCA
RNAcentral lists this transfer RNA (73 nucleotides) under Kibdelosporangium aridum. It matches the Rfam family "tRNA". From Rfam's summary of the family: Transfer RNA (tRNA) molecules are approximately 80 nucleotides in length. Their secondary structure includes four short double-helical elements and three loops (D, anti-codon, and T loops). Further hydrogen bonds mediate the characteristic L-shaped molecular structure. tRNAs have two regions of fundamental functional importance: the anti-codon, which is responsible for specific mRNA codon recognition, and the 3' end, to which the tRNAs corresponding amino acid is attached (by aminoacyl-tRNA synthetases). tRNAs cope with the degeneracy of the genetic code in two manners: having more than one tRNA (with a specific anti-codon) for a particular amino acid; and 'wobble' base-pairing, i.e. permitting non-standard base-pairing at the 3rd anti-codon position. Lineage: Bacteria; Bacillati; Actinomycetota; Actinomycetes; Pseudonocardiales; Pseudonocardiaceae. The record is from Rfam by way of RNAcentral.